GCCUUGGGCACUGCCAGGGAUCCAGGACAGCCACAGCCGCUCUGGCACCCUGUGCCAGGGCCUGCCCACCCUCACAGGGAGGAAUUCCUCCCCAAUACCCAAUGUAAAGUAUCUACCGAGGGCCUCUUUCCCGACGCACCUCCACCACCAGGAAGGAAAAAUCCUCAUGCAAAGCCACUCAUUCCCCGCACACACACGAAGUACCUGGCAAGUUCCUAAGCAACAAGUGGCGCAGACAGGGCUGUCCGAGCCCGGGCCGGCUGUCCCGGGUACCGCCGCCUCACGGCCCCGCUCCCGCCGGCUCCCCGCGCCGGGCUACCUCGGCUCGCCGCGAUCCGCGGGAUGCGCCGGCCGCUCGCAGCCUCUGCGGCUCUGCCAAGCCCCUCCCCGGCUCCUCCUCCGCAGGAGUGAAACCUGAGCAACCAAGAUGUGACUCCUCUGCACCUGGGACCUUCUGCACCUGCACAGGGGUCUGUGCUCUCCACUGCACUGAACAGCACUUCCAUGUCUUUUGCUGCAUGUGAACAUUUGACUGGAAAUAAUAAAAUAAUCACACGAGUCUCAUUUUCUGUUCUAAUUUCUUUUGCCAGACAAUUUUAAGCUUUUUUUUUUUUUUUUUAAUUUAGCAAGUCAAAGAGAUGAACUCCCCACUCCUGAGGAGUUUGUCAGCUUGCCAUGGAGCAGAGGAAGCAGAUAAUGAGUAUCUUUUAAACCCAUCCAAGAAGGCCACAUACUUGAAACCACAGAAAAAAGGGUCUAUCCGCGUGCUUGUCACAAGUUCAAUCCUGAAAUUCACCCUAUCCUCCAAAAGUUAUUUCAGAAGAAUUGGGAAGGCAAAGCAACCCAGAGAAUGUUAUUAGUGCAGCCUGUAGCUUCUUCUGCUUUCUGAUUUUGCAAAUGUAACCACCGAAGGAGCUUCAAGCCAUCAUUAGGAGUUGGACAGGCAGGAUUUUCCAAUGCUGCUUCAUCCUCAGCUGGAUUUAUCCUGCAGUCAGCUGCUCCCAACACACAUACACACAA
Molecule: long non-coding RNA, 1020 nt
Filed under: Taeniopygia guttata (zebra finch)
Lineage: Eukaryota; Metazoa; Chordata; Aves; Passeriformes; Estrildidae
Description: lncRNA (ENSTGUG00000023404.1)
Source: RNAcentral